Long non-coding RNA from Pteropus alecto (black flying fox), 789 nucleotides. RefSeq lists it as uncharacterized. The record is from RefSeq and is a predicted model, not a curated record. The transcript is spliced from 2 exons. NCBI's taxonomy places the organism in Eukaryota, Metazoa, Chordata, Mammalia, Chiroptera, Pteropodidae.
AGGGGCUGCGUGGACCCAGGCUCCCCGCGCGCCCUGCUCGGGUCCUGAGCUGGGCUUAUCCGUGUGGGCGGGAACAUCCUCGGCAGUGGAAAGGUGUGGGGCUCUCCUCGAGCGCGGUGCUUGCUCUCUGCCUCCUUUCCCCUUUUCAGGGGUAGGAUUAAGCCACAUCUGUGUGUCUGUCUUUCUGCGGAGUCUGCAACCUCUGACCGACCGCUCUAUUUCUGCCUCCUGUUGCAGAAUUUCUAGACCAGACUUUGGGCAAAUAAAAAACAGGAGUGACGUCAGAAACAUGGCAGAGUGAGAGAUGUCUCCAUAUCUCUCCCCUUGAAACAACAAGCUGAACAUCUAAAACUCAAGAAAAAACACCCAACCUGCACACCAGCAUGUCUGAGCGUGGGAUCUGCACAUAAGAGCUACCACAGGAAAAAAUACAUGUCGGAGAACCUUGAAAAAGGGAUAAUGGUCUUGCAAGGCUUUUGGGACUCGGCCUCUAAAGCUUUUUUCACAGCUGAUGUCCUCUGUGAUUUUUCUCCAUCCAUCUUAUAGGAUAACCCUAUCUCUCAACCACUGUAAAAUAAAUACAAAUAUGUAAAACUAAAUUAAUGUAUGCAUAUGGACAAGGACUGAGUUGAGGAGGCCGUAGCAGUAUACAAAAAGGUUGAUUUGUUGGGAUUUUGAGGCUAUUAGUAAAUUAUCAUGUUUUUCUUAAUGCUAUUGUUGUAAGUGUAACAAACACAAUGUAAAACUAACUUGUUAAAAAUAUAAUAAUAAAAUUAAAUUAAAAACGGA